RNAcentral lists this ribosomal RNA (553 nucleotides) under uncultured bacterium. RNAcentral describes it as "partial 16S ribosomal RNA". It matches the Rfam family "Bacterial small subunit ribosomal RNA", at positions 355 to 924 of the family's 1533-position model. The record is from RNAcentral.
UGGGGAAUAUUGGACAAUGGGCGCAAGCCUGAUCCAGCCAUGCCGCGUGAGUGAUGAAGGCCUUAGGGUUGUAAAGCUCUUUCGCCGACGAAGAUAAUGACGGUAGUCGGAGAAGAAGCCCCGGCUAACUUCGUGCCAGCAGCCGCGGUAAUACGAAGGGGGCUAGCGUUGUUCGGAAUCACUGGGCGUAAAGCGCACGUAGGCGGAUUGUUAAGUCAGGGGUGAAAGCCUGGAGCUCAACUCCAGAACUGCCCUUGAUACUGGCAAUCUCGAGUCCGGAAGAGGUAAGUGGAACUGCGAGUGUAGAGGUGAAAUUCGUAGAUAUUCGCAAGAACACCAGUGGCGAAGGCGGCUUACUGGUCCGGUACUGACGCUGAGGUGCGAAAAGCGUGGGGAGCAAAACAGGAUUAGAUACCCUGGUAGUCCACGCCGUAAACGAUGGAGGCUAGCCGUUGGCGAGCAUGCUCGUCAGUGGCGCAGCUAACGCAUUAAGCCUCCCGCCUGGGGAGUACGGUCGCAAGAUUAAAACUCAAAGGAAUUGACGGGGGUCAUG